CUGUUAAUCACCUUGGAAGCUUAUUAAAAUGCAGAUUCUGAUUCAGUAGAGUCUUCAUGUCUAAUAAACUCCCAGGGGUGCCAGC
Molecule: microRNA precursor, 85 nt
Filed under: Marmota monax (woodchuck)
Lineage: Eukaryota; Metazoa; Chordata; Mammalia; Rodentia; Sciuridae
Source: RNAcentral